AUUCAGCUGACGAGUACGAAAUAGGAAGAAACGCGCGUCCUGCAU
This is a non-coding RNA of Schistosoma mattheei, 45 nucleotides long. The record is from Rfam. NCBI's taxonomy places the organism in Eukaryota, Metazoa, Platyhelminthes, Trematoda, Strigeidida, Schistosomatidae.